RNAcentral lists this ribosomal RNA (445 nucleotides) under uncultured bacterium. RNAcentral's name for it is "bacterial SSU rRNA". It matches the Rfam family "Bacterial small subunit ribosomal RNA", at positions 354 to 796 of the family's 1533-position model. The record is from RNAcentral.
GUGAGGAAUAUUGCGCAAUGGAGGCAACUCUGACGCAGCCAUGCCGCGUGCAGGAAGAAGGCGCUACGCGUUGUAAACUGCUUUUAACCGGGAAGAAACCCCAGGACGUGUCCUGGGUUGACGGUACCGGAGGAAUAAGCACCGGCUAACUUCGUGCCAGCAGCCGCGGUAAUACGAAGGGUGCAAGCGUUAUCCGGAUUCAUUGGGUUUAAAGGGUGCGUAGGCGGAGCGUUAAGUCAGUGGUGAAAUCCUGCAGCUUAACUGUAGACUUGCCAUUGAUACUGGCGCGCUUGAGGUCGCUGGAAGUGGGCGGAAUGUGCCGUGUAGCGGUGAAAUGCUUAGAUAUGGCACAGAACACCAAUUGGGAAGGCAGCUCACUAAGGCGAUACUGACGCUGAGGCACGAAAGCGUGGGGAUCGAACAGGAUUAGAUACCCUAGUAGUCC